This 821-nucleotide ribosomal RNA is filed under the name uncultured bacterium. Its description in RNAcentral is "bacterial SSU rRNA". It matches the Rfam family "Bacterial small subunit ribosomal RNA", at positions 69 to 856 of the family's 1533-position model. The record is from RNAcentral.
AAACUUCUUUAUCACCGAGUGCUUGCACUCACCGAUAAAGAGUUGAGUGGCGAACGGGUGAGUAACACGUGGGCAACCUGCCCAAAAGAGGGGGAUAACACUUGGAAACAGGUGCUAAUACCGCAUAACCAUAGUUACCGCAUGGUAACUAUGUAAAAGGUGGCUAUGCUACCGCUUUUGGAUGGGCCCGCGGCGCAUUAGCUAGUUGGUGGGGUAAAGGCUUACCAAGGCAAUGAUGCGUAGCCGAACUGAGAGGUUGAUCGGCCACAUUGGGACUGAGACACGGCCCAAACUCCUACGGGAGGCAGCAGUAGGGAAUCUUCCACAAUGGGCGAAAGCCUGAUGGAGCAACGCCGCGUGGGUGAAGAAGGUCUUCGGAUCGUAAAACCCUGUUGUUAGAGAAGAAAGUGCGUGAGAGUAACUGUUCACGUUUCGACGGUAUCUAACCAGAAAGCCACGGCUAACUACGUGCCAGCAGCCGCGGUAAUACGUAGGUGGCAAGCGUUAUCCGGAUUUAUUGGGCGUAAAGGGAACGCAGGCGGUCUUUUAAGUCUGAUGUGAAAGCCUUCGGCUUAACCGGAGUAGUGCAUUGGAAACUGGGAGACUUGAGUGCAGAAGAUGAGAGUGGAACUCCAUGUGUAGCGGUGAAAUGCGUAGAUAUAUGGAAGAACACCAGUGGCGAAAGCGGCUCUCUGGUCUGUAACUGACGCUGAGGUUCGAAAGCGUGGGUAGCAAACAGGAUUAGAUACCCUGGUAGUCCACGCCGUANACGAUGAAUGCUAAGUGUUGGAGGGUUUCCGCCCUUNAGUGCUGCAGCUAAC